This 2060-nucleotide long non-coding RNA is filed under the name Monodelphis domestica (gray short-tailed opossum). RNAcentral describes it as "lncRNA (ENSMODG00000045722.1)". The record is from RNAcentral. Lineage: Eukaryota; Metazoa; Chordata; Mammalia; Didelphimorphia; Didelphidae.
CUGGGGCUACCUGAACCCUUCUAGAAAUAGCAUUCUCCAGCGGGCACUUACAGCAGAAGCAGAGAGGGUUCAAGUUUCUCCAGCCCCUGACCUGCCUAAUCCUAUUAAUGCUCAUUCUAAAUGUUUAAGGCAAAGCCUACCUAUCCUGACUGAUUAACCAUCUUCCAGAGAUCUCCACAUUGGGAAAAAAUGAUUGGGGGCGGGGAUGGAAUCCUCCCUCUCAUAUGCAGUCUUCCCUCCAUUUAGGUACCCUCAGUACAGAAACUGAGGAGGAUUCAGGAAUGGAAGGGUCCAACGAAAGCACUGGAUUUCCAUGCUUCCCUCUGGGUUCAGGGAUCGGCCACCCUGGCCUCAACCUACACCCCGACCAUUAUCUAUGGGCGCCGAACAGGAAAAACUAGCACCUCAAUCAGGGACUCUUAACAGAAGAGUGGCAACAGAGAGAAUGAGGGAGCAGCCCAGAUGUGUCAUGGAUGGCUACCAGAGAGCAGUGGAGAUGCCUUGUCCACAAUGUACAUGCACACUCAGCUGAGCUGUUUCAUCAAAGCAGGAAGAUGACAUAACUAGAAAACAUCAUCAGCUUUACACGUCAGAAGCAUGAACUGCCUUUCUAUAUUUCUGCCCUAAUGACGUAGAUUGCCUGUAUGUGUGAUCCCUCAUCCAUAUGGCCUGAUCACGUGCAUUUCUGAUAUGUAAACUUCUGUUGUGUUAUUUCUAUGACUGCCCAACUUUCCUGAUGUGUAUUUGUGGGAGAGUAUACCCCACAUCUACAGGGUACACCUCCUAUUACUAGUUUUCUCAUGCUAUUUUAUGAAAUGCCUUUGCUUGGAGGUAAUUAUGUUUUCUGCCUCACUAGUAAAAAUGCAGACAUUGGUAGGAGCUCAUUAGCUUUGUUUUUGAGUAGAAAAAGACUCACAGGGUAUUUUGAAUCUUGAUAUAGAUUUUUCUCAGAAUGUACACAUGGAUGAAAUGGAGUGUCCUGGAUGUUUUACUAUUAAUACUCAAAUUAAAAAGCAAACAAACAAAAAUCAAUUUGCCUUACUUCCUGUAAGGGUCUCUCUGGAGUAGGCUUGGAUUUUUUUCCCUCUCCAGAAUUCUUCAGAGGAAAGAUGGAUGGCCACUUGUGUAGUAUAUUUGUAGAGGGCAUUCCUGUUGGGGUGUAUAUGUCUUAGUUUUUGUGACUCCUUCCAACUCUGAGUGAGUUGUGUGAUUCUUAUUUUGUGAAUAAUAUCCAGAAGAGUGAGCCUUCAUGCUGUGUUGUGCUCCAUGUUGCAGCCAUCUGUCUAAGAGAGUUUAAAGGGAAGAGGGAAAGGCAAGGAAGAGCUAAUCCUGAGCAUUAUCCAUUAUAAACAUGACCACUGUCAAGAUAAGUCAAAUUUAGAGUCUAGCCAUCUUGACAGCUGCUUCCUUUAGAGACUCUUUUCUCUUUCAUUGUGACUGUCAUUGGUUUUAAGGAAUGUAACUGACUGUAACUCAAGAAGGUGAUGUGUCAGAUGGGAAGUUGUUUUAGAACUAGAGGCACUGGUGGAAAAGGAGACAUUGUUAAUGUACAGGAAUCAGCAGAAGGCUUUGCUUUUCAUAAUUUUUCACAAGGCAACUUUUUCUCUUCUCUCCACAACACAGCUGAGAGACACAUACAUAAUUAAAAGUAAAUUAAAUAACUUCUUCCCAAUUCUGUCUCUACCCACUAAUACAACUUAUUGUUAGUGAUUUAUUUUGUCAGGGAAAUGAAACUGAUUAAAGCACAGUUUUGGAGAAAUUUUCUAGGAAGAAGGCAAACUCCUAUGACAGAAUCUCCACCAAAUAUGUUGUGUAGGAAAAUGAAUGAUCCCUUUUCAACUUACAUGGAAUUCAAAUGCAGUCCCUUAAUACAAAAACGAAACAACAUAGUAAGGAGAAAUCUUUUCCAGAAUAUUUACUAGAGCUCCUGAAAUAAGCAUAUAGAACCACAUAGUUAUGUGGCUGAAAAACUAGAGAGGUCAUUUUUUUCUCCAAGAAUUCAGGUCAGAUUAUACCAAAAAUACUGGAAGAAUAAAAUACAUAAUUCUUAUAAUUUUCCA